AAACUAUUUAGCUAGAGUUUAUCNGAGGAAAGCGGAAUACNUAGUGUANAGGUGAAAUUGGGNGNNGUUAUGUANAACNCCNGUUGCCAAGGCGGCUUUCUGGGAUAAUACCUGACNCUGAGGUGCCGAAAGUAUGGGUAGCCGAAGAGGAUUAGAUACCCCUCGUAGUCCNUACCCGUAAACGAUGAUUGUUAGAUGUUGGAAAUUUAUUUUCAGUAUCACAGCUAACGCGUUAAACAAUCCCGCCUGGGGAGUACGACCCGCAAGGUUAAAACUNNNAUGAAUUGACGGGGACCCGCACAAGCGGUGGAGCAUGUGGUUUAAUUCGAAGCUACGCGCAGAACCUUACCAACACUUGACAUGUCUGUCGCGGAAUUCCGAGAUGAAUUCCUUCGGUUCGGCCNGACAGAACACAGGUGCCUGCAUGGCUGUCGUCAGCUCGUGUCGUGAGAUGUUGGGUUAAGUCCCCGCAACGAGCGCAACCCCUACUUCUAGUUGCCAUCAGGUUAAGCUGGGCACUCUAGUAGGACUGCCNGUGAUAAGCAGGAGGAAGGUUGGGAUGACGUCNAGUCCUCAUGGGCCUUACGUGUUGGGCUACCCCCUGCUACAAUGGCAGUGACCANUGAGAUGCUAAACGGGNACGUUAGCUAACUCAAAACCUGCCUCNUUCGAUGCNUCUGCACUCAGUGCUGAAGCUGGAUCCUAUAUCCUCNUNCCCGAGCG
RNAcentral lists this ribosomal RNA (723 nucleotides) under uncultured Alphaproteobacteria bacterium. RNAcentral's name for it is "partial 16S ribosomal RNA". It matches the Rfam family "Bacterial small subunit ribosomal RNA", at positions 630 to 1354 of the family's 1533-position model. Lineage: Bacteria; Pseudomonadati; Pseudomonadota; Alphaproteobacteria. The record is from RNAcentral.